This is a long non-coding RNA of Zeugodacus cucurbitae (melon fly), 2821 nucleotides long. RefSeq lists it as uncharacterized. The record is from RefSeq and is a predicted model, not a curated record. Lineage: Eukaryota; Metazoa; Arthropoda; Insecta; Diptera; Tephritidae. The transcript has 5 exons.
ACCAAACGGUCUGAGGCUGAUCGACUUCGCCGGGGCCCGAAAUAUGGCCGUCUGUAGUACUAGAUUCCAGCAUAAGGAAAUCCAUCAAGCUAGUUGGCUGUCGCCGGAUCGAAUCACUCGCAACCAGAUCGAUUAUGUUGUGAUAGAUGGACGACAUGUCUCCAGAGUUUUUGAUGUGCGUACGCUUCGUGGUCCCAACAUCGACUCGGACCCCUAUCUUGUAGCAGCUAAGAUACGCACCCGCCUCUGUGUAGAAAAGCGCACACGUCAACAAACACAAGGAAGGUUCGACAUCGAGAAGCUGCAAUCACAACCGACAGCCGAACGAUUUUCUACUCGACUUGCACUCCUGCUCUCUGCGAGCACUCAUCAGCAUCUCGGUAUAAGGGAACUGUGGGAUGGCAUAUCAAACUCCUUACGUACAGCUGCAACCGAAACCAUUGGCUUUCGGAAAAGUAAAAAAACAGCUGGUAUGAUGAGGAUUGUCGUCUCGCAGUGGAGAGAAAACAGACUGCCUACCUCGCAAUGUUGCGAUCGACCGCAACACGAACGGGAUAGGAAAGAUACCGAGAGCUGAAGAGGGAAGCGAGACGCAUUUGCAGACAAAAAAAGAAAGAGGCCGAAAUGCGUGAGUAUGAAGAGCUUGAAAAGCUGGCCGACAGGGGCAGUGCUCGAAAAUUUUACGAAAGGAGAUGGCGAACCCGAUUCCCCAAUCGACGACGAUGGAGCAGAUGUUCCAUUGCCCGACCAUGAAGAAAUUCGAAUAGCAAUUACCCGCUUGAAGAACAAUAAGGCGGCAGGGGCUGAUGGAUUACCGGCCGAGCUAUUCAAAUACGGCGGCGAAGAGCUGAUAAGGUGCUUGCAUCAGCUUCUUCGCAGAAUAUGGUCGGAAGAAAGCAUGCCUGGUCUUCGCUUGGUAUAACCAAUUGGCGCCAAACUGCCAGAAGGAGGGAUAUGUGGCGCGCUGUUUUGGACUCGGCUAUAACCGCGUAAGCGGUGUCUACGCCAGUCAAGAAGAAGAAGAAGAAUGAUUGUUAAGGAUUAAUGCCAAUGGUGAAAGGAAUGUUUAGAGAGGACGACAGUGUCCUAGAAGACGAGAUUGGGGGACGAAAUGCUAAGCUUUUGGUUCUGGAAGUAUGUAUAAUCGAGACGAUCAGACUUAAGUGGAUAUAUCUAAACAUCGAUAUUCGUAGUUGCCACAAUGUUCGAGUGCCGAUGUAUCGCUUACAAUCGACUAUAUAAGGGCUGCCGGACUGGCAGCAAGACACAGUUCUGAUAAGAGAGUUGUCGAGCAAAGUGUAAACAAGUUAUAAGUUAGAGUUGUAAAGUAGCGUAUUGAGUAAUAAAGUGUUAAGUUAUAAGGAAUUAGUAAUAGAGAUUAGUUUCCCUACAAGACGGAGCUAACUCAUACACCACUACAUAUGCAAAGUUUUUCAGCUUUUACCAACACAUACGCAAUAGUAACUUUUUGUAGUUAAAUGACAAUCUCGGUAGUUAGAGUGGCAACAUUCAUUAACCCUAAUUUUUGUAUGUAUAAGAGAGAGAUGCACGCACUAUAAUGGACCGUCAUGGCCGCCAUUCAUAUGAAAAGAAAAUUUGAAGUAAGUGGAUAGCGGCACUAUGGUUGACUGGAUGCUGCAGCUUAUUUAAAGAAAAUAACUGCAGAAAAUAGUCUCGGAAGGCAAAGCGAGCUGCAACGCACAUCUGGGGCGUACAUGCAAAACUAAAAAGAUAAGCAGAACAAUGAUUAUGCCACUUUGGGAUAUUUGCAAACUUCGGAGGAAAAACUAAAACUUAAGCUGAAUACCACCCAUAUACUCCCAUAGAGGAAGGCAGCUAUACUUGGUAUGGGUGCGGGGAAUCCUACCAGCAGUUCUACAAGACAUACAACGGCAAUUCAUCAAUCGUACAAUACAAAUUCGACGUAACAAAAAUCAUGCACCUAGAAAUACAAAAUAUGCUACAACAACAGAGUUGGUAUUUAUACUUCCCAUGCUUAUAAUAUUGGUGGAUAAUCGCCAAAUGGUGUAACAACUGUAGCAGCAAUAACAAGUAAUACAUAUUCAAAUUCACAAUAAAAGUAAAGUCGCACAACGCAACAGGCAAAUAACAAGGCAUCGGAUGAUAUAUUACAAAUUACAUCGGACUUUUGGAGUAGCACUUUCAACACUUAUUUUCGUCGUGCUAAACACAGUGUCUCCUAUGAUUCCCUUGGAUCUACACAAUUAGCAGAGCUAUAAAAACAACAUUGAGGCGCCGAAGUUGUUCAUCUUACUUCUGAUUUGAUUAUGGAGGCAUUAUUAGGCUGAUCUUACAAUUAGUCAUUUUCAAUAUUGUGAUUGUUAACUUAUCGUAAUAGUAGUAAAAUUUAAUUUGUAUUGUAUAACAACACAAAAAAAAACAAUACUUAAAACUUUUGAGAAAUUGUAAAUUAUAAAAAUUUAAUAAUUAAUACUAACUUUAUAUGUAAAAUAUGUAAAUUUUGUCAAUGUAUAAAUAGCCGCAAAAACGUUUGUAAAAAUGAAAGUUUACUUUCUACUGAAAUGCUAAUUUAAAAAUUAAUGUAUAAUAAUCAUUAAUAACAAGUAAGGAAGUUCUGAGUUCGGGUGUAACCGAACAUUUUAUACUGUCGCAAUUUAUUUAUUUAACUUAAUUAAUUUUAUAUAAUACACAAUUUGACCCACAUAUUCGUUAUAUAUGUUAUAUAAAGUCCAUUGAAAGUUGGAAACCCUAAUAUUAGGUUAGAAGCACCGAGGUCCUCAUGUUCGAUAUAUGGGGCCUUGAAAAUAUAUGGUCCGAUUUUGGCGGUUUUUAGAAUGGG